This 126-nucleotide small RNA is filed under the name Salmonella enterica. Its description in RNAcentral is "RtT sRNA". It matches the Rfam family "RtT RNA". From Rfam's summary of the family: This family represents a bacterial cis-regulatory element known as RtT RNA. The exact function of RtT is unknown although it is thought that it may be involved in changing the cellular response in relation to amino acid starvation. The record is from RNAcentral. RNAcentral also lists the same sequence under 2 other names. Lineage: Bacteria; Pseudomonadati; Pseudomonadota; Gammaproteobacteria; Enterobacterales; Enterobacteriaceae.
UUGCUAUCUGCGAUAUGGAAGAUUCGAACCUGCUGCAGGUUCGGGUCUCAUGCAGUGAGACAACGGAGCCGUUUACGGCGACGGCCCGAAGGGCGAGCGAAGCGAGUCAUCCUGCACGACCCACCA